RNAcentral lists this ribosomal RNA (2843 nucleotides) under Vibrio parahaemolyticus. RNAcentral describes it as "LSU rRNA". It matches the Rfam family "Bacterial large subunit ribosomal RNA". The record is from RNAcentral. Lineage: Bacteria; Pseudomonadati; Pseudomonadota; Gammaproteobacteria; Vibrionales; Vibrionaceae.
AUGAAAGACGUAGUAACUUGCGAUAAGCCCAGAUUAGGUAGUAACAACCAUUUGAGUCUGGGAUUUCUGAAUGGGGAAACCCACGUGCAUAAGCACGUAUCCUUACCUGAAUACAUAGGGUAAGGAGGCGAACCGGGGGAACUGAAACAUCUAAGUACCCCGAGGAAAAGAAAUCAACCGAGAUUCCGAAAGUAGCGGCGAGCGAAAUUGGACUAGCCCUUAAGCUUUACACGCGUUAGACGAACGGUCUGGAAAGUCCGACGAUACAGGGUGAUAGUCCCGUAGUUGACGACGUGUGUUCAGUGAAAUCGAGUAGGGCGGGACACGUGAUAUCCUGUCUGAAUAUGGGGGGACCAUCCUCCAAGGCUAAAUACUACUGACUGACCGAUAGUGAACCAGUACCGUGAGGGAAAGGCGAAAAGAACCCCUGUGAGGGGAGUGAAAUAGAACCUGAAACCGUGUACGUACAAGCAGUAGGAGCAGGCUUUGUCCUGUGACUGCGUACCUUUUGUAUAAUGGGUCAGCGACUUAUAUUCAGUGGCAAGGUUAACCAUCUAGGGGAGCCGUAGGGAAACCGAGUCUUAACUGGGCGUUCAGUCUCUGGAUAUAGACCCGAAACCAGGUGAUCUAGCCAUGGGCAGGUUGAAGGUUGAGUAACAUCAACUGGAGGACCGAACCGACUAAUGUUGAAAAAUUAGCGGAUGACUUGUGGCUAGGGGUGAAAGGCCAAUCAAACCUGGAGAUAGCUGGUUCUCCCCGAAAGCUAUUUAGGUAGCGCCUCGGACGAAUACUACUGGGGGUAGAGCACUGUUAAGGCUAGGGGGUCAUCCCGACUUACCAACCCUUUGCAAACUCCGAAUACCAGUAAGUACUAUCCGGGAGACACACGGCGGGUGCUAACGUCCGUCGUGGAGAGGGAAACAACCCAGACCGCCAGCUAAGGUCCCAAAUUACUACUAAGUGGGAAACGAUGUGGGAAGGCUCAGACAGCCAGGAUGUUGGCUUAGAAGCAGCCAUCAUUUAAAGAAAGCGUAAUAGCUCACUGGUCGAGUCGGCCUGCGCGGAAGAUGUAACGGGGCUAAGUAGUAAACCGAAGCUGCGGCAAUAUACUUUUGUAUAUUGGGUAGGGGAGCGUUCUGUAAGCGGUUGAAGGUGUGUGGUAACGCAUGCUGGACGUAUCAGAAGUGCGAAUGCUGACAUGAGUAACGAUAAAGGGGGUGAAAAACCUCCUCGCCGGAAGACCAAGGGUUCCUGUCCAACGUUAAUCGGGGCAGGGUAAGUCGACCCCUAAGGCGAGGCCGAAAGGCGUAGUCGAUGGGAAACGGGUUAAUAUUCCCGUACUUCUUACAAUUGCGAUGGGGGGACGGAGAAGGCUAGGUGGGCCUGGCGACGGUUGUCCAGGUUCAAGUGCGUAGGCUUAAGAGUUAGGUAAAUCCGGCUCUUUUUAAGGCUGAGACACGACGUCGAGCACCUACGGGUGUGAAGUCAUUGAUGCCAUGCUUCCAGGAAAAGCCUCUAAGCUUCAGAUUGUAAGGAAUCGUACCCCAAACCGACACAGGUGGUCGGGUAGAGAAUACCAAGGCGCUUGAGAGAACUCGGGUGAAGGAACUAGGCAAAAUGGUACCGUAACUUCGGGAGAAGGUACGCUCUCGACGGUGAAGUCCCUCGCGGAUGGAGCUAUUGAGAGUCGCAGAUACCAGGUGGCUGCAACUGUUUAUUAAAAACACAGCACUGUGCAAAAUCGUAAGAUGACGUAUACGGUGUGACGCCUGCCCGGUGCCGGAAGGUUAAUUGAUGGGGUUAGACUUCGGUCGAAGCUCUUGAUCGAAGCCCCGGUAAACGGCGGCCGUAACUAUAACGGUCCUAAGGUAGCGAAAUUCCUUGUCGGGUAAGUUCCGACCUGCACGAAUGGCGUAAUGAUGGCCACGCUGUCUCCACCCGAGACUCAGUGAAAUUGAAAUCGCUGUGAAGAUGCAGUGUACCCGCGGCUAGACGGAAAGACCCCGUGAACCUUUACUACAGCUUGGCACUGAACAUUGACCCUACAUGUGUAGGAUAGGUGGGAGGCUUUGAAGCACGUACGCCAGUAUGUGUGGAGCCGUCCUUGAAAUACCACCCUUGUAGUGUUGAUGUUCUAACGUCGACCCCUAAUCGGGGUUGCGGACAGUGCCUGGUGGGUAGUUUGACUGGGGCGGUCUCCUCCCAAAGAGUAACGGAGGAGCACGAAGGUGGGCUAAUCACGGUUGGACAUCGUGAGGUUAGUGCAAUGGCAUAAGCCCGCUUGACUGCGAGAAUGACAAUUCGAGCAGGUGCGAAAGCAGGUCAUAGUGAUCCGGUGGUUCUGAAUGGAAGGGCCAUCGCUCAACGGAUAAAAGGUACUCCGGGGAUAACAGGCUGAUACCGCCCAAGAGUUCAUAUCGACGGCGGUGUUUGGCACCUCGAUGUCGGCUCAUCACAUCCUGGGGCUGAAGUCGGUCCCAAGGGUAUGGCUGUUCGCCAUUUAAAGUGGUACGCGAGCUGGGUUUAGAACGUCGUGAGACAGUUCGGUCCCUAUCUGCCGUGGGCGUUGGAAGAUUGAAGGGGGCUGCUCCUAGUACGAGAGGACCGGAGUGGACGAACCUCUGGUGUUCGGGUUGUGUCGCCAGACGCAUUGCCCGGUAGCUAAGUUCGGAAUCGAUAACCGCUGAAAGCAUCUAAGCGGGAAGCGAGCCCUGAGAUGAGUCUUCCCUGAUACUUUAAGUAUCCUAAAGGGUUGUCGGAGACUACGACGUUGAUAGGUCAGGUGUGUAAGUGCUGUGAGGCAUUGAGCUAACUGAUACUAAUUGCCCGUGAGGCUUAACCAU